Molecule: ribosomal RNA, 253 nt
Filed under: uncultured bacterium
Lineage: Bacteria
Description: partial 16S ribosomal RNA
Rfam family: Bacterial small subunit ribosomal RNA
Source: RNAcentral
UACGUAGGGGGCAAGCGUUGUCCGGAAUCAUUGGGCGUAAAGCGCGUGUAGGCGGCUCGAUAAGUCUGCUGUGAAAGUCCAGGGCUCAACCCUGGGAUGCCGGUGGAUACUGUCGAGCUCGAGUCCGGAAGAGGAGUGUGGAAUUCCUGGUGUAGCGGUGAAAUGCGCAGAUAUCAGGAGGAACACCAAUGGCGAAGGCAGCACUCUGGGACGUGACUGACGCUGAGGCGCGAAGGCGUGGGGAGCGAACGGG